RNAcentral lists this ribosomal RNA (305 nucleotides) under uncultured bacterium. RNAcentral describes it as "bacterial SSU rRNA". It matches the Rfam family "Bacterial small subunit ribosomal RNA", at positions 334 to 637 of the family's 1533-position model. The record is from RNAcentral.
GAGCCUACGGGACGCAGCAGUGAGGAAUAUUGGUCAAUGGGCGAGAGCCUGAACCAGCCAAGUCGCGUGAAGGAUGACGGCCCUAUGGGUUGUAAACUUCUUUUGUCAGGGAGCAAUUGGGUCCACGUGUGGGCUUAGCGAGAGUACCUGAAGAAAAAGCAUCGGCUAACUCCGUGCCAGCAGCCGCGGUAAUACGGAGGAUGCGGGCGUUAUCCAGAUUUAUUGGGUUUAAAGGGGGCGUAGGCGGAAUAUCAAGUCAGCGGUAAAAAUUAGGGGCUCAACCCCGACGUGCCGUUGAAACUGAU